GAUGAAGAACGUAGCGAAAUGCGAUAAGUAAUGUGAAUUGCAGAAUUCAGUGAAUCAUCGAAUCUUUGAACGCACAUUGCGCCCGCCAGUAUUCUGGCGGGCAUGCCUGUUCGAGCGUCAUUUCAACCAUCAAGCCCCCGGCUUGUGUUGGGGACCUGCGGCUGCCGCAGGCCCUGAAAACCAGUGGCGGGCUCGCUAGUCACACCGAGCGCAGUAGCACAUCUCGCUCAGGGCGUGCGGCGGGCUCCUGCCGUGAAACCCCCCACUGUAACCCCAAAGGUUGACCUCGGAUCAGGUAGGAAUACCCGCUGAACUUAAGCAUAUCAAUAAGCGGAGGA
Molecule: unclassified non-coding RNA, 338 nt
Filed under: soil metagenome
Description: partial contains 5.8S ribosomal RNA, internal transcribed spacer 2, and large subunit ribosomal RNA
Rfam family: 5.8S ribosomal RNA (bases 1-120)
Source: RNAcentral